ACAACCGAAGAUAAUCAAUUCAUAUUACAAAUAUAUUCAUGGCUUUGAAUUAACGUCUAGCCAAAAUAACUUUAAUUACACAUUAUUAAAACAAAAAUAAAAUAGAAGUUUGAAAAGAUUUAACCGAGAGAAAUGGAGUGAAGCCUCUAAUUUUCUUCUCACUGUGCCCGUCAGUCUCCCUUCUCCCCGUGUCUAUCUCCUCUCCUGCCUCUGCGAGCUGACCUCCUGACCUCUCUCCCUCCCCACGUCUGCGAGCUUCACGCUUCCCUUCUCUCCGUAGCUUCACGCUGCCCAAAGGGCAGCCCUCUGCCUUCCACCAAUUCACGUUUUCUGCCUUUGUCCCUUUUUAUUCCUUUUUCUGCUAUCCUUCCCGCGUCAGUGCUCUCUGCUGCCCAGGGCAGCUCCUCCACCUUCCCGUGUCUUUAUUUUUUUAUUCCAUCUUUUUUUUUCCAGCUGCAAAGCUUUAGUUUUUUAUUUUUUUCUUUCCUCUUGUUCUCUGCUUUUGACUCCUUGGAUUCCUUCUCCGCGUCCAGCUGCAAAGCAGCUCUCUCUCUUGGAUCCCUUUCACGUUUUCUGCUUUUCUCUAUUGCUCACGCUGUCUCUCCACUUUCUUCUCCUACAAACACAAUAAAUUAAAAGUAUCAUAAAUACUUAAAGCUUUAACUAAAUUAGACAA
Molecule: long non-coding RNA, 676 nt
Filed under: Malus domestica (apple)
Lineage: Eukaryota; Viridiplantae; Streptophyta; Magnoliopsida; Rosales; Rosaceae
Description: long non-coding RNA (MDOM_LNC019952)
Source: RNAcentral